GUGAUGCGUGGCUGUGGGUUUGUGGCUUUGAGUGCAUGUCUGUCUGUGUGUGGGUGUGUGUGACAGGCCACCGUAGGCUCCCUCUAACCUCGCAUGUGAAACUACUCUACCCCCUCGCACACAGGGAUUCCCCCAUAGCCGUGAGUGUGGAACGUCACCUACAUGUUGAAACUGCGUCAUGGCCAAGUAGAGUGCACAUCUGUAGGAACAGAGGAGAAGGCAGACCACGUACCGUGAAACUGCUGCCCUUGCUCAUUCUAAUGGACAAUGACCCAACACACCUCCAGGCUGUGUAAGGGCUGUUUGACCAAGAAGGAGAAUGAUGGGGUGCUGCAUCAGAUGACCUGGCCUCCACAAUCACCCGACCUCAACCCAAUUGAGAUGGUUUGGGAUGAGUUGAACCGCAGAGUGAAGGAAAAGCAGCCAACAAGUGCUCAGCAUAUGUGGGAACUCCUUCAAGACUGUUGGAAAAGCAUUCCAGAUGAAGCUGGUUGAGAGAAUGCCAGGAGUGUGCAAAGCUGUCAUCAAGAGAGCUCUGCCGCUGCUCUCUCUGACAUCACAGGCAGGCGUGGUCCGCCCCCACGUUGCCUUGCAGAGAUGGGCCUACCUGUGACGCACACACUCCUCCUCGG
Molecule: long non-coding RNA, 632 nt
Filed under: Salmo salar (Atlantic salmon)
Lineage: Eukaryota; Metazoa; Chordata; Actinopteri; Salmoniformes; Salmonidae
Description: lncRNA (ENSSSAG00000106389.1, ENSSSAG00020080025.1)
Source: RNAcentral